Molecule: non-coding RNA, 539 nt
Organism: Paramuricea clavata
Lineage: Eukaryota; Metazoa; Cnidaria; Anthozoa; Malacalcyonacea; Plexauridae
Source: the annotation of a GenBank genome assembly
UUUACAAUCAAAUGACCGAAGGUAAGGACAACAGGACGUGAGUCCCUAAUUAAGUCCCACCAAAAACGUACAUUACAUAAUUACUUAUAGGUAUUACAAGAAUACAUAUUAUAUACAUAAACAAUAGGACAUACAACAAUUAUAAUUACAUCUAUGAACAACAGAUUGUAUGUAAAGAACGACAUUUACUGCAUACAGUUUUCCAUGUUCUAGGACGGUCUACAUCAAAAGUACUAUUCAGCUUUCUAGUGUAAUAUAUAUAUAGUUUAGAUUUAAGUAUGGCGACUGACGAAGAUGAUUUGAUAUCAGACGGUAAAUUGUUCCAUAAAAAUACAAUUCUGUUAAAGUAUGAGUUUCGGAAGAGGGAAGUUUUGCACAGGUUUGGACGAAAAUCACCAGAACUGGAACGAGUGGAGUGGUGAAGUGGUUGGGUUAUAUACUGAUUGAUGCCAAUUUCGGACAUCCCGUAUUUACAUUUGUAGAGGAAUAUAAUGUCUUUAAUUUCAUGCCAGUAUGAAAGGGGGAUUAGAUUUAGUUUU